UCAGACGAUGCGUCAUGCAUAUCAAUAAGCGGAGGAAAAGAAACUAACAAGGAUUCCCCUAGUAACGGCGAGUGAAGCGGGAAGAGCUCAAAUUUGAAAUCUUAAAGGGUUUCCCUUUACGAAUUGUAGUUUAAAGAAGUGUUUUCUGUUGAGGUUUUGGUAAAAGUUCUUUGGAAUAGGACAUCAUAGAGGGUGAGAAUCCCGUAUUUGACCUUUACUUUCAACUUUGUGAUACACUUUCAAAGAGUCGGAUUGUUUGGGAAUGCAGUCCAAAAUGGGUGGUAAAUUUCAUCUAAAGCUAAAUAUUGGCGAGAGACCGAUAGCGAACAAGUACCGUGAGGGAAAGAUGAAAAGAACUUUGAAAAGAGAGUUAAACAGUACGUGAAAUUGUCAAAAGGGAAGCGUUUGACACCAGUGUUGUUUUUCUGAAAAUCAAUUAAAGAACUGUUUAUGCUAAGUUGUUUAGACUUUAUCAGCUAACUGUUUAGUUUUGAGCUUUUCUUUAAUGCACUUUUCAGUUAACAAGUCAACAUCAAUUUCUUUUGCUGUAAAAAAGCUUGAGGAAGGUGGCUUGAGAUUCGUCUUAAGUGUUUAUAGCCUCUUGCCUAUGCAGUCGGAGAGACUGAGGUCUGCAGCGUAGAUCCUUCGGGGCUAAAUGCAUUUGUGCUAAGUUAUAGCAUUUUAUAGACAACUUGUUGACUAUGAUUUGUCUUGUAGCUUACUCGCUUAUGUUAUUUUACCUACGCUUAGGAUGUUGAGCGCAUGUCUCUCUCU
This 774-nucleotide ribosomal RNA is filed under the name uncultured Neocallimastigales. RNAcentral describes it as "partial large subunit ribosomal RNA". It matches the Rfam family "Eukaryotic large subunit ribosomal RNA", at positions 18 to 616 of the family's 3401-position model. The record is from RNAcentral. Lineage: Eukaryota; Fungi; Neocallimastigomycota; Neocallimastigomycetes; Neocallimastigales.